GACGAAGGAUGCAAGCGUUAUCCGGAUUCAUUGGGUUUAAAGGGAGCGUAGGCGGCCCUGUAAGUCAGUGGUGAAAUCUCUCGGCUUAACCGAGAAAUUGCCAUUGAUACUGCAGGGCUUGAGUACAGUUGCCGUUGGCGGAAUAUGACAUGUAGUGGUGAAAUACAUAGAGAUGUCAUAGAACACCGAUUGCGAAGGCAGCUAACGAAACUGUAACUGACGCUGAGGCUCGAAAGUGCGGGGAUCAAACAGG
This 253-nucleotide ribosomal RNA is filed under the name uncultured bacterium. RNAcentral describes it as "partial 16S ribosomal RNA". It matches the Rfam family "Bacterial small subunit ribosomal RNA", at positions 524 to 776 of the family's 1533-position model. The record is from RNAcentral.